Molecule: transfer RNA, 75 nt
Filed under: Nelumbo nucifera (sacred lotus)
Lineage: Eukaryota; Viridiplantae; Streptophyta; Magnoliopsida; Proteales; Nelumbonaceae
Rfam family: tRNA
About the family: Transfer RNA (tRNA) molecules are approximately 80 nucleotides in length. Their secondary structure includes four short double-helical elements and three loops (D, anti-codon, and T loops).
Source: Rfam by way of RNAcentral
GCCCGUCUAGCUCAGUCGGUAGAGCGCAAGGCUCUUAACCCCUUGUGGUCGUGGGUUCGAGCCCCACGGUGGGCG